UGCGUAGGCGGCUUUUUAAGUCGGAUGUGAAAUCCCUGAGCUUAACUUAGGAAUUGCAUUCGAUACUGGGAAGCUAGAGUAUGGGAGAGGAUGGUAGAAUUCCAGGUGUAGCGGUGAAAUGCGUAGAGAUCUGGAGGAAUACCGAUGGCGAAGGCAGCCAUCUGGCCUAAUACUGACACUGAGGUACGAAAGCAGUGGGAGCAAACA
This 207-nucleotide ribosomal RNA is filed under the name uncultured bacterium. RNAcentral's name for it is "partial 16S ribosomal RNA". It matches the Rfam family "Bacterial small subunit ribosomal RNA", at positions 568 to 774 of the family's 1533-position model. The record is from RNAcentral.